GCUGUGUUUAUUAUCUGUUUUUCCAUGUUAUCUAUAUGACAAUUGCAUAUCAAGUUCGGAAGCUCAGGAUCUCCUGAAGGUAGCUAUUUUCUAAUUCCACUUUUAUCCUACCCUCUGGUAUAGUAUUUGUCUGCGCGUGUUUGCAUCUGCUGGGGCUGAUAAGGUAGAAGUGGCUACCUGACUAACAUUAUUAUAGUUCUCUCCUCCUUCCUCUCCUAGCUGGUUGGAAAUGAUGGUCACCUCUGGACGCUGGUCACCUGCUCAGAGAUAACGGGGCAGCCGACUGCAGGACCCCCCAUCACCUUGCGGUAUUGGUGGCUCUGCCUAUACCGGCCAGGGGGACACGCUAGUCACUGAGCAAGGAAGGGGAAGGUCCGCAUAGGACUGAAACGGAUGGGGUUGUCUUUUCAUUUGUUGGCUGCUUCUCUUGCUGUGCAGAAGACUUACAGGUUUUUGAGAACGUAGGGAAAAUUCACAGUGAGUUCAAGUCCUGAUCUGUCUCUAUUCUCAAGUCACCUCCUACAGGAUUCUGCAGUAGAAUGGUUAUGUUUAGUUCCCUUUUGAGCUCAGGGAUAUCAACUACUCAUUUAAAUGUGUGAGGAACUAAAAAAAAUAUUUCUAAAACACACUUAUAAUGAU
Molecule: long non-coding RNA, 639 nt
Filed under: Bos indicus x Bos taurus (hybrid cattle)
Lineage: Eukaryota; Metazoa; Chordata; Mammalia; Artiodactyla; Bovidae
Description: lncRNA (ENSBIXG00000017014.1)
Source: RNAcentral